Molecule: ribosomal RNA, 477 nt
Filed under: Candidatus Scalindua brodae
Lineage: Bacteria; Pseudomonadati; Planctomycetota; Candidatus Brocadiia; Candidatus Brocadiales; Candidatus Scalinduaceae
Description: bacterial SSU rRNA
Rfam family: Bacterial small subunit ribosomal RNA
Source: RNAcentral
UUCGCAAUGCCCGAAAGGGUGACGAAGCGACGCCGCGUGGGUGAGGAAGGCCUUCGGGUUGUAAAGCCCUGUCAGGAGUUAAGAAAUGUAAGUGCGCUAAUAUCGCAUUUAUUUGACGAAGGCUCCAAAGGAAGUCACGGCUAACUCUGUGCCAGCAGCCGCGGUAAUACAGAGGUGGCAAGCGUUGUUCGGAAUUAUUGGGCGUAAAGAGCACGUAGGUGGGUUUGUAAGUCAGAUGUGAAAGCCUUCUGUUCAACGGAAGAAUUGCAUCUGAAACUGCGAGUCUUGAGUGUAGGAGGGGAGAAUGGAACUUCUGGUGGAGCGGUGAAAUGCGUAGAUAUCAGAAGGAACGCCGGCGGCGAAAGCGAUUCUCUGGCCUAUUACUGACACUCAGUGUGCGAAAGCUAGGGGAGCAAACGGGAUUAGAUACCCCGGUAGUCCUAGCCGUAGACGAUGGGCACUAAGUAGAGGGGUUUU